UCUGGGACAAGCCCUGGAAACGGGGUCUAAUACCGGAUAACACUCUGUCCCGCAUGGGACGGGGUUAAAAGCUCCGGCGGUGAAGGAUGAGCCCGCGGCCUAUCAGCUUGUUGGUGGGGUGAUGGCCUACCAAGGCGACGACGGGUAGCCGGCCUGAGAGGGCGACCGGCCACACUGGGACUGAGACACGGCCCAGACUCCUACGGGAGGCAGCAGUGGGGAAUAUUGCACAAUGGGCGAAAGCCUGAUGCAGCGACGCCGCGUGAGGGAUGACGGCCUUCGGGUUGUAAACCUCUUUCAGCAGGGAAGAAGCGAGAGUGACGGUACCUGCAGAAGAAGCGCCGGCUAACUACGUGCCAGCAGCCGCGGUAAUACGUAGGGCGCAAGCGUUGUCCGGAAUUAUUGGGCGUAAAGAGCUCGUAGGCGGCUUGUUGCGUCGGUUGUGAAAGCCCGGGGCUUAACCCCGGGUCUGCAGUCGAUACGGGCAGGCUAGAGUGUGGUAGGGGAGAUCGGAAUUCCUGGUGUAGCGGUGAAAUGCGCANAUAUCAGGAGGAACACCGGUGGCGAAGGCGGAUCUCUGGGCCAUUACUGACGCUGAGGAGCGAAAGCGUGGGGAGCGAACAGGAUUAGAUACCCUGGUAGUCCACGCCGUAAACGUUGGGAACUAGGUGUUGGCGACAUUCCACGUCGUCGGUGCCGCAGCUAACGCAUUAAGUUCCCCGCCUGG
RNAcentral lists this ribosomal RNA (727 nucleotides) under Streptomyces sp. RNAcentral describes it as "bacterial SSU rRNA". It matches the Rfam family "Bacterial small subunit ribosomal RNA", at positions 137 to 876 of the family's 1533-position model. The record is from RNAcentral. Lineage: Bacteria; Bacillati; Actinomycetota; Actinomycetes; Kitasatosporales; Streptomycetaceae.